UACAGAGGGUGCAAGCGUUAAUCGGAAUUACUGGGCGUAAAGCGUGUGUAGGUGGUUUGCUAAGUCAGGUGUGAAAUCCCCGGGCUCAACCUAGGAAUUGCAUUUGAUACUGGCAGGCUAGAGUGUGGUAGAGGAUGGUGGAAUUCCCGGUGUAGCGGUGAAAUGCGCAGAUAUCGGGAAGAACACCCGUGGCGAAGGCGGCUCUCUGGGACGGUACUGACGCUGAGACGCGAAAGCGUGGGGAGCGAACAGG
Molecule: ribosomal RNA, 253 nt
Filed under: uncultured bacterium
Lineage: Bacteria
Description: partial 16S ribosomal RNA
Rfam family: Bacterial small subunit ribosomal RNA
Source: RNAcentral